GAGGCAACCAGUAAAGAAUCCAUUCAUUAGAUGAGGCAAUUAUUCUAGGAUACCAAAAGAACUGCCCCAAGCUAACAUGUAUGAUGACAUCACAAGUGAAGUCAGAUAACAAACAUGCAAGUGUUGGAAGCUUAUGCUAGUGGCAGCUGAUAGGAGAGAAUACGAGGAGAAAGCUGCUUGUAGCUGUCAUUUGCUAAAAAUCAGCACUUAAGAUAAAAUAGUCCCUGUUUUUUUCUUAUAUCUUCUGACAGAGUUUGAUGUCCAGAAGCAUCUACUUUUCUUCUGCAAUAGUAGGAUUCAUCAUCAUAUAAAGCAGUAUAACCC
Molecule: non-coding RNA, 324 nt
Organism: Pelobates cultripes (western spadefoot toad)
Lineage: Eukaryota; Metazoa; Chordata; Amphibia; Anura; Pelobatidae
Source: the annotation of a GenBank genome assembly